GAUCAAUUCAAUAAGCUUGUGACUAAAAAAAUAUGCUGUCAGCUCAGACACAUGACUCAGGACUGAACAGACCCCAAAGAGGGUUGUAGUUCCAUUGAGGUCUUCCAAAUGCCAGUAGAGAAAGGUGAACACGAAGCCAUAUCCAAAACCCAUGAACCAAGCCACAAACAGCACUGAGCCAUACUGCACGCUGCAGAGCAGCUUGAUUAAGUCCCAAAAGUUGAAGGCCUGCGAGUGGCUUGUGGUGGUUGGUGUCUCCUCAGAGGACUCUGUAGAGUUGUUCCUUUCCACCUGCGGGAUCUCCACCUCUUUCCCUUUAGAAUCAUCGUUUUUGAAAUGGUUGUAGCGGAACCGGAACUGAGUGGCAACGAUCAAGGCCAUGGUCAUGAGAACGCCGAAGACGAUGAAGACGAUCUGGUAAUUCCUGUACUCGGGGGGCUUACACCCCUUUCCAUCGAUGAGCACUUCGAUGUGGGUGUAGUCGAUCCCGAUGCCCACAGACAGCAUCGCCAGGCCCCAGCCCAGGGAGCCCCACAUGCGCUGCAACCCAUAGCGAUCUCUGUGUUUUCCCAGAUACUGGAGUGUGACCGUGUCUACGAUUGUGACAGAAGAGGCACUGAAAAAUUCUCCUAUUAUGACAACUACCAAGAUCACCAAGAAUAUAGCUUCAACUUCUUGUUGAUCAUAAACAAGCAUGACUUGGUCAGAAGGUAAAGAUUUGGUGGUGGUAACAAUAACAGUGGUUGUCUCCUUGGUUACGCUUCCUGGGGAGACAGGGGUUGCUGUGCUUGAGUUCAAAGUCAAGUCCAUCAUACGGUUGUGUUCCACCAGAACAAAAGGAUAA
RNAcentral lists this long non-coding RNA (844 nucleotides) under Homo sapiens (human). Its description in RNAcentral is "non-protein coding lnc-NEMP2-4:1". Lineage: Eukaryota; Metazoa; Chordata; Mammalia; Primates; Hominidae. The record is from RNAcentral.